CUUAUAAAAAUGAAGCAAUGUUGUCUUGAAGGCACUUCUGUCCUUUCUGCUGUGGUUCACACAACUCUGGACCAACGGAUAAUAAAGAACUUGAGACAGAUGAUGAAGGCUGCAAUGGGGCAGUGAAACUACAGCGGUCAUUCAGAUUUUCUAGGAGUGCUAUAGAAAGUAGGAUCAACCCAUAACUAGACAUAUCUUUAGAAGAUGAGAGUCAUCGUUCCAUUACUGUUAUCUUUAUUUUUCACUGUGGGUGUUUCUCAUUUCCUCGAUCCUCAAAUUCCAUAUGAGAACUAUGAAACUUAUGCAAAUGCAUAUCUGAACUGGGUAAAAUAUUUGUAUCCCAACUCGAUUGGCUCAGUUGACACACAACCAUAUUAUUUUGUUCCGUUUUAUUAUAACCCAACGAGACCAGGUGCAGAAGUUCCAGUAGAUGAAGGAAGUGGUGGUGGCCCACCAGCAGAUAUUGAACCGAGAAGAAAGAGAAGCAUACUAUUAAGAAUGAUUAAGAAGUAAUAGUUCACAAAGACAACUAUUUACACGAUAUGGGAAAGGUUGAAUCAGAGCAUGAAAAUGGCAUGGGAAUUAAGAGUUAAUUCAGCUUGUAUAGGGCUUCAAAGCUCUUUGUUUUGUAUAACCACACCCCAUCUUAUCCCCAAUACUGCAAAUACUUAAAAGAUAACUCAGGAUACCCAAAGAAAUGAUACAAAUCUGAACUUGAGGUGCAGUGUAAUUAUUCAUUGUUCCUGUUUUAAUCUGCUUUAUGGAAAAUAAGACAUGCUGAUGUUCUGCUUGCUUCUCUUUCUGUUUUUCUUUUGCCACACUCCACUAAAUCAAAAAUAUGUAGGCUUCUUUAAUGGCUAUUUUCUUCUUGCAUAUGAUAAACGAUUUAUGCAAUCA
Long non-coding RNA from Protobothrops mucrosquamatus (brown spotted pit viper), 897 nucleotides. RefSeq lists it as uncharacterized. NCBI's taxonomy places the organism in Eukaryota, Metazoa, Chordata, Lepidosauria, Squamata, Viperidae. The record is from RefSeq and is a predicted model, not a curated record. The transcript has 3 exons.